Pecten maximus is the source of this 1269-nucleotide long non-coding RNA. RefSeq lists it as uncharacterized. The record is from RefSeq and is a predicted model, not a curated record. The transcript has 2 exons. Lineage: Eukaryota; Metazoa; Mollusca; Bivalvia; Pectinida; Pectinidae.
GAAACUUAUUGGAUAAGUGAGCGGAGCCCAUAGACAACCUGUAGGCCAGGGAACCCAGUAGGUCAGAUGUGGAGACCCCUGAGAGAGCCCCCGCUGGUCAGAAGGCUGAUCCCCAAGAUUAAAGUAACAAUCAGGAAAAAACCUGUGGGAAACCCAGCAGGUUAAAUUGGCCAAGUCUAGGACAUGCAGGAUAAUAAUAGACCCAGUGGAGACCCUAACAUGUCAGAUGGACAAAGCCCAAAUUUAAGGUAAAUAUGGAUGAAAGCCUGUGGGGAACCCAGCAGGUUAGAUGGGCGGAGCCCACGACAUGCAGGAUGGCACUAACCUGUGGUGCACCAAUCAUGUCAAAUUGGCAAAUCAUAAACUAAAAAUAAUGGCAAACCUAUGGGGAACCCAGCAGGUUAGAUGGGCGGAGCCCAGGACAUGCGGGAUGGCACUAAAACCAGUGGAGACACUAUAUAUCUAGUAGAUCAGAUGGGCGAAGCCCAACUAAAGUAAAUAUGGAGGCAAACCUGUGGGGAACCCAGCAGGUUAGAUGGGCGGAGCCCAAAAACAUGCAGGAUGGAACUACAUAAGGUAAUGAAAACGGAAAACCUGUGGGGGACCCAGCAGGUUAGAUGGGCGGAGCCCAUGACAUGCAGGAUGGCGCUGAAACAGGUGGAGACCCUAUAGCUACAUAUAGCUAGCAUUUCAGAUGGGCGAGGCCAAACUUAAGGUAAAUAUGGAGGAAAACCUGUGGGGAACCCAGCAGGUUAGAUGGGCGGAGCCCGCAACAUGCAGGAUGGUACUAGUACUAAAAACCUGUGGAGCACCCCGCAGGUCAGAUGUGUAAGCCCAAUUACGUUAAUAAAAUGGCAAACGUGUGGCCUGGGGCACUCAGCACAUCGAUGGUUGAGUCCCAGGGACAUGCAGGGAAUUUAUGUCAUAUAAAUGUAUAACACUACUAACACUUGGUAAAUAUAUACACUGGCGACAGAUAGGGGCAGGAGGGCGGGUCGUCAAAAGAAACAUGAACGUAAUUCCACCAGCCUCCUCAACUGCUAGACAAAGACUGAAAUUAGCGUCACCUAAACUCUUGACCAUUGGUCACUAUAGUCACGUGAUUACUAACAACAUACUUAAUAUUCAUGCAUAAUGACAUCAUCUAAUUACUGCUGAACAAACGUUACCGAAGGUUAACUCUCCGGCUUAUUAUAUAUAAAACCUAUUUACAUAGAUAUAUGAAGUUGUACAUUUGUAACAUUAACAUGAAAAUUCCCUUCCAAAAAA